AAGGUAGCGCAAUCACUUGUUCUUUAAAUGAGGACUAGUAUGAACGGCAUCACGAGGAUUAUACUGUCUCCCCCCUUUAAUCAGUGAAACUGAUCUCCCCGUGAAGAAGCGGGAAUAAACAUAUAAGACGAGAAGACCCUAUGGAGCUUUAAACUCAACACCACUUAUCUAAAACACUCCAUAAUAAACAGAUAAGCUUGUGAACGUCUUAGGUUGGGGUGACCACGGAGUAAAAUUUAACCUCCACGUUGAAAGGCCUUAUCCUUAUCCAAGAGCCACAUCUCCAAGAAUCAACAAAUUGACAUUUAUUGACCCAAAUAUUUUUUGACCAACGAACCAAGUUACCCUAGGGAUAACAGCGCAAUCCAUUUCAAGAGCUCAUAUCGACAAAUGGGUUUACGACCUCGAUGUUGGAUCAGGGUAUCCCAGUGGUGCAGCCGCUACUA
RNAcentral lists this ribosomal RNA (446 nucleotides) under Chiasmocleis avilapiresae. Its description in RNAcentral is "partial large subunit ribosomal RNA". It matches the Rfam family "Bacterial large subunit ribosomal RNA", at positions 1953 to 2567 of the family's 2925-position model. Lineage: Eukaryota; Metazoa; Chordata; Amphibia; Anura; Microhylidae. The record is from RNAcentral.